This is a long non-coding RNA of Octodon degus (degu), 95 nucleotides long. RefSeq lists it as uncharacterized. The record is from RefSeq and is a predicted model, not a curated record. The transcript is spliced from 3 exons. NCBI's taxonomy places the organism in Eukaryota, Metazoa, Chordata, Mammalia, Rodentia, Octodontidae.
UUGUAGUAGGACAAGGUGAGGGCAUCCCCCUGACCAGCAGAGGCGGAUCUUUGCUGGCAAGCAGCUGGAAGAUGGGCGCACCCUGCCCAACUACA